UUCUUAGUUUUAAAUAAAUUUGUAUUGUUCACAGACCAUAUUCCAACUGUUUGUAUGCAUGCGAUAAUGCCAAUCCACUAGGUUAGCAGAUAAGAAGUGUCUCUGGGAUACACAUGCUGCAGUUAAUGGAGGUAUUGUUAGCUUUUAUUUUUCCAGCAUCUAAAGAUCCCCAGUUACUGCAACUAGUACUGGAAGGUUCUACAAAAACGAUGGCACCAGAGAUACACUUUAGAAGGAAACAUACGAGGGAAACAUCUGAUAGAGCUAAAAUGAUGAAUUAGAAUGAAAUGUGUGUGUGUGUCUGUGUGUGGGCGAGUGUGUGUGUUUGUGUGUGUGUGGGAGAGAGAGUGUGUGGGAGAGAGAGUGUGUGUGUGUGUGUGUGUGUGUGGGAGAGUGUGUGUGUGUGUGGGAAAUUGUGUGUGUGUGUGAGAGAGAGAGAGUAAAACAUACUGCACACAUUGGACUUGCAAGGUGCAUCAUCCAGAGAACUUAUAUGUACAUCUUCAUGAGAAAAUAGCCAAGCUGAGAAAAUCUACCAAGUAGGUCUGCUGUCACACCUCAUUGGUAACACAUUGGAAAUCAAGCCCUGCUAUUCCUGGAGUCGUCACAAAAGUUAAAGAUUUUAUCAAGGGUCCUCUUAAUCUUUGGCUGAAAGGUUAGCAUAUAAAGUGACCAGCCCUUGGGGAUUUGAAGAUAUGAUGCGUUAGGGAACUGUUCUUCCAUCUCUGAUCCUGGGGAAGAAUCUAAAAUGAAAAAAUAUUUUGAUCAAAUUCCUCUCCGAAAGCCUCAAUUGACACUGCCUCCACAACACUCAGACAAGAUCAUAAUUCAAGAUCACCUAUGGACAUAUUGAACCUUGACUGCAGCAUGGAUUUUCUUUAAAGGAGGUACAGCCAAACGGGGAGUGUGGAUGUAUAGUCAGUAUCUGUCUGGUGAGGAACCAUGGAAUGCUGCACUAGAAGGAGCAGAACGCCCACAAUAGGGCAGAAAGGACAGGUGGAGGAGCCUAACAUCAGAUCCCUCAUCCCUUUAUGAGGAAAGAAUCCUGUCCCUUGCAGGAGGAGACUAGGAGACAUUCAUGCCCCACCAAAAGGCUGAUACAACCAAAAAUGGCAGCGAAUAUAAAUUAAGCAGCUAUCUGAAGAGAGAGAGAGACCCAUGGAAGUAACAUCUAGAUAUGCAAAGGGAAAUGUGUAACAACAGUCCUUCAAAUGGGGAAAGAGCCCAUUUCUGAAGAAGGGUACCGACCCGAAACGUCAACUUUCCUGCUCCUCUGAUGCUGCCUGGCCUGCUGUGUUCCUCCAGCUUCACACUGUGUUAUCUCAAAACAGACUCAACAGUGAUUCUCGAGACUACAAAAACAAUGAGGGGGUUAAUGCAGCGCCUGCAGAACAAGAAGCCACAGCCCUUCAUUCUCACUAGACUCUAGGUUCGAGUUAUAAGAAGAGACUGGACUGACUGGGCCUUUUUUGACUGAAUCAUAAGAAGCUGUAGGGUGACCUAGGUUUAUAAAAUAAUGACGGGCAUAGAUAAGGUGAAUAGUAAAUGUCUUUUCCCUAAGAUGGAGGAAUUUAAAACUUGGGGUCAUAUUUUUAAGGUGAGAGGAGAAAGGUGAGACGGGACGUGAUGGUCUAGUGGUAUUAUUGCUGGACUUUUAAUCCAGAGACCCAGAUAACAUUCUGGGGAUGUGGGUUCAAAUCCCACCAUGGCAGAUGGUGGAAUUUGAAUUCAAUUAAACUCAAUUAAAAAAUAUCUGGAAUUAAGAAUCCAAUGAUGACCGUGAAUCCAUUGUUGAUUGUCAGGAAAAACCCAUCAGGUUCACUAAUGUCCUUUAGGGAAGGAAACUGCCAUCCUUACCUGGUCUGGCCUACAUAUGACUCCAGACCCACAGCAAUAUGGUUGUCUCUGAACUGCCCUCUGGGCAAUAAAUGCUGCCUGGUCAGCAACACCCUCGGCCCAUUAAUGAAUAAAGAAGAAAAAAAUUUAAAAGAGACCUGAGGGCAACAUUUUAAUACAAAGAGUGGUUCAUAUGUGAAAUUAAAUUCUAGGACCGAAACAUCAGCCUUCCUGCUCCUCUGAUGCUGCUUGGCCUGCUGUGUUCAUCCAGCUCUACACCUUGUUAUUUCAGACAUUUGGACAGGACAGGUUUAGAAGGAUAUGGGCCAAACACAGGCAAAUAGGACUAUUUUAGUUUGGGAAAAUUGGUCAGCAUUGACAUGUUGGACUGAAAGGUCUGUUUCUGUGCUAUAUGACACUAUGCCUCUAUGAAUAAGAUGUCCCAAACUGCAGGCAUAUGUUAUACCUUCCUGUUCAAUAAUACACAAGGACACGGGUUAAAUGCCGGUUUCAACUCCACUGCAGUGUUCUAGUGAGACUGAAUGUUUUCAUGUGUACUAGUCUGAGUUCAUGCAUUAGCAAGCUGUGAAGGUCAUAGUCAGACAAACAGCCCCUAGUCACCCCUGUAAGAGACUCUUUUAUUCUGGAUGCUAAAAGACAGCCAGUUAGCAGCCAGACAUUAGGACAACAAAUGGAUUUGCUCUCACUCCAAAUCUAGCGGUUCAAUCACAGUUGAAAGGAAUCAGAACAACUGAUCUGCAAAACAAAGGGCAUGAAAUCAGUCACUCAACUAUUGGAGUUAAUGCUACUGGUAACCGCAACAAUGGCCACAACGUUCAACUAUCCAACUCUUUGCAAAGAAUUUAGAUUCAAAAGUCUUAUUUUUAUCUUAUUUCUAAUCUGUUUGUAUGCAUGCUGCAUUUCUAAUUCCUCUUACAUUUAGUAAUUCAUAAAUUCAAUCUUUGGUAACUCAAGAAGGCCUGGUUAAGAGUCUACAACAUAGAAUGAGCUUCUUCUUAGCCACAACAGCCAUCAAGCACCAACCUACUCUAGUCAUAUUUUCCACCACUUGGCCCAUAGCCCUGUAUGAUAUAGCGCUUCAAACAUUCAUCUAAGUACUUCUUGAAUGUUGUAAUAGUUACCUUUUCUGCCAUUCUUUCAAGCAUGAGUUCCAGAUACUCACCAUCUCCUGGGUUAAUUUCUUUUCCUUAAAUGUCCUCUAAACCUUUGGCCCCUUACUUUAAAUCUACGUGCUCUGGUCAUUGAACGCCACCAAAGGGAGAGGUCUCUUUCAAUCUACCUUAUCAAUGCCCCUCAUAAUUUGGUACACUUUAAUCAGGUUUCCUCCUCAGCCUUCUCUGCUCUAAAGAAACCAACCCAGUCUAUCUAGAAUAAAACAAAGGGCUGCAGAUGCUGAGGAUCUCAAACAGAAGCAGAAAGUGAUGGAGAAAGCCAGCAUGUCUGGCAGCAUUUGUGGAGAGAAAGCAGAAUCAAUGUUUUGAGUCCAGCCAUGCUUCAUCAAAACUAAUAGCAGCUAGGAAAAGUAGGUAUUAAUUCUGAAGAGAAGUUUGGGGGGACGUGAACAGAUCGAUGGAAAUGGAGUCCAGAGAGAGAGAGAGAAAUAUGAAAGGGACAGGCAGUCAAGGGGUUUGUUGAUAGCAGGACUGAAAAGAAACUGAAUAAGUGAUAAUAAGAGCUGAGAGUAGGUGAGAAUAGGUAGGCUGUGCUGAAAGCAACCCAUAUGAUCUGAUGAGGUAGUAGGAACUGCUGAUACUGUAGUCAGAGAUAACAAGUUGUUGCCGGGAAUGGAGGGUUUGCGUUAUAAGGAGAGGCUGGAUUGGCUGGGUCUUUUUCACUGGAGCAUAGGAAGUUGAGGGGUGUCCUUAUAGAGUUUUAUAAAAUCUUGAGGGCUUUAGGCAAAGUGAAUGGCAGGUGUUUAUUCUGUAGGGUAGGGGAUUUCAAGAUUAGGGGGCAUAUUUUUAAGGUGAGAGAUAAAAGAUUUAAAAAAGACAUAAGCGACAAUUUUUUCACACAAACGGUAGUUUGUGUGUGGAAUGCACUUCCAGAGGAAGUGAUGGAUGCGGGUACAGUUAGAAUGUUUAAAAGUUAUUUGGAUAAAUGGAGGGGUGGCAUGGUACCUCAGUGGUUAGCACUGUUGUCUCACAGCUCCAGGGACCCGGGUUUGAUUCCACUCUCGGGCGACUGUCUGUGUGGAGUUUGCACGUUCUCCCCGUGUGUGUGCGGGUUUCCUCCGGAUGGUCUGGUUUCCUCCCACAGCCCAAAGAUGUGCAGGUUAGGUGGAUUGGCCAUGCCAAAUUGCCCAUAGUGUUCAGGGAUGUGUAGUUUAGGUGGGUUAUAGGGGGAUGGGUCUGGGUGGGAUGCUCCAAGGUUCGGUGUGGACUUGUGCCGAAGGGCUUGUUUCCACACUGUAAAGAUUCUAUGAUUCUAUCCUAAGGUGCAGAGCUGGAUGAACACAGCAGGCCAGGCAGCAUCAGAGGAGCAGCGGAUACAAUAUUGUAUCCUGAUGUGGCCUUCUCUACAUCGGGGAAACCAAGCAGAGGCUUGGAGACUGCUUUGUGGAGCACCUACGCUUGGUUCGUGACAAACGACAACACCUCCCAGUCGCGAACCACUUCAACUCCCCCUCCCACUCCUUGGACGACAUGUCCAUCCUGGGCCUCCUCCAGUGCCACAACGAUGCCACCCAAAGGCUGGAGGAACAGCACCUCAUAUUCCGCCUGGGAACCCCGCAGCCCAAUGGUGUCAAUGUGGACUUUACAAGCUUCAAAAUCUCCCCACCCCUGACCUCAUCCCAUGACCAGCUCGUCUCGUCACCGCCUCCUUGACCUGUCCGUCUUUUCUCCCACCUACCUGCCCCUCCCUCCUCACUGACCAACCCCCAUCCCAACUCCCUACCUACACUCACCUGUACUGGCUUCAUCCCUGCCUCUUUGACCUGUCCGUCUUCUCUCCACGUAUCUACUCCUCUAUCCAAUUUCUAUCAUCGUCUUCCCCUCUCUCUAUUUAUUUCAGAGCCCUCUCCCCUCCCCCAUUUGUGAAGAAGGGUCCAGACCCAAAACGUCAGUUUUCCUGCUCCUCUGAUGCUGCCUGGCCUGCUAUGUUCAUCCAGCUCUACACCUUGUAAUCCCAUAUGAUCUGAUGAUAGGCCGAGAGUGAGUGAGAAUGGGUUAUGUGCUAAAAACAACCCAUGUCACGUCAAGACCGUGUGUGAGGAUUUGUUAAAAACAAAGGAUUGAUUCAGGCUGCAAAGUUAGUAGACUUGAUGUUGCGCCCUGGUCCCAGUCUUUCUUAAUCUCUCUUCAUAACUGAAUCGCUCCAGCCCUGGCAACAUCCUGGUGAAUCUCUUCUGCACCCUCUCUAGUGUAAUCACUUCCUUGCUAAAGAGUGGGAAUCAGAACAGCACACAGUACUCCAGCUAUGCUUAACUAGCAUCUUAUACAGCUCCAGCUUACUCUCCCUGCACUUGUAUUCAAAGUUGUAGUUAAUAAAAGCAAGUAUCCUACAUGCCUUCUUAACUACCUUUGCCACCUGUCCUGUUGGCAACUGUUAUAUAAUGUUUUCCAAUACUUGCUAUAGACUUUUCUGGCCAAUUGGGAACAUCAGAUUCAGAUUUUAGGUUCCUUGUUACAAUGAGACUUGUUGAGUUUAUGUCACAGGUUUGAAAGCAGUGAGUACAAUGUAUUGUACGUGAUUGUUUGAGGCCUCAUUGUUAUCUGCAGUGUUUGACAACUACUGCCUUUCAAAUGAAGUACACAAUGAAGGCAGAUUCAGUGGCACUAUUUACCCAGAAGGCUCCAGGGCGAGUAGCUAAUUGACCCGGAAGGCACUCUAUGCAGAAGAAGCAGUUCAAUUAGAAAUGAAACUAGACAGCUGGUAACAGCCAUUCUGUGAGUUAUAACGAACACUGACAAGAUGUGUUAAUAGCUACCAGCUCUGAUUUAUCAGUCAAGUCCUUAUGCUGUCAAGUUUCUUAAUUGCGGACAGGAAAUUGGAACCGUGAUGUUAGUGUGGUUAAAAACGAGAUGCAAAUGCAUCGAGAAAAGUUUCUUGCCUUGUGGAAUUCUGAACUCACCAAAUAAAGCAUAAGACAUAAUUGUGCAAGUU
Molecule: long non-coding RNA, 5961 nt
Organism: Rhincodon typus (whale shark)
Lineage: Eukaryota; Metazoa; Chordata; Chondrichthyes; Orectolobiformes; Rhincodontidae
Exons: 9
Source: RefSeq, a predicted model, not a curated record